AAUGAACGCUGGCGGGGUGCUUUACACAUGCAAGUCGAACGGAGUGGCGGACGGGUGAGUGAGAUAUUGGAACGUGGCCAGUAGAGGGGGAUAACUGCUAGAAAAAGUGGCUAAUGCCGCAUAAUGUUCGAGCGGGCGAUAUGGGUUUAGCUAGUUGGUGGGGUAAAGGCUCACCAAGGGAACGAGCCGUAGCCGGUUUGAGAGGAAGCCCAGCCACACUGGGACUGAGACACGGCCCAGACUCCUACGGGAGGCAGCAGUGGGGAAUUUUGGACAAUGGGGGAAACCCUGAUCCAGCCAUCCCGCGUGUAUGAUGAAGGCCUUCGGGUUGUAAAGUACUUUUGGCAGAGAAGCGGUAUCUGCAGAAUAAGCACCGGCUAACUACGUGCCAGCAGCCGCGGUAAUAC
RNAcentral lists this ribosomal RNA (407 nucleotides) under uncultured bacterium. RNAcentral describes it as "partial 16S ribosomal RNA". It matches the Rfam family "Bacterial small subunit ribosomal RNA", at positions 29 to 526 of the family's 1533-position model. The record is from RNAcentral.